UUAAGUUCAGCGGGUAUUCCUACCUGAUCCGAGGUCAAACUGGAUGAAGAUGAUGUUCACGACCAGCACCGAUCGGGUCUACAGAGUGGUGAUGGAAGCCCAUACACUCGACACCGGUAUCUCGAUGCUGCCACUGCAUUUCAGGCCCGUCCACACAGGGACGAUGGCCCAACACACAAGCCGUGCUUGAGGGGUUGCAA
Molecule: unclassified non-coding RNA, 200 nt
Filed under: Chrysosporium sp.
Lineage: Eukaryota; Fungi; Ascomycota; Eurotiomycetes; Onygenales; Onygenaceae
Description: partial internal transcribed spacer 2
Source: RNAcentral